RNAcentral lists this ribosomal RNA (425 nucleotides) under uncultured bacterium. RNAcentral's name for it is "bacterial SSU rRNA". It matches the Rfam family "Bacterial small subunit ribosomal RNA", at positions 354 to 796 of the family's 1533-position model. The record is from RNAcentral.
GUGGGGAAUAUUGGACAAUGGGCGAAAGCCUGAUCCAGCCAUGCCGCGUGAGUGAUGAAGGCCUUAGGGUUGUAAAGCUCUUUCAGUAGGGAAGAUAAUGACGGUACCUACAGAAGAAGCCCCGGCUAACUUCGUGCCAGCAGCCGCGGUAAUACGAAGGGGGCUAGCGUUGUUCGGAUUUACUGGGCGUAAAGCGCACGUAGGCGGAUUGGUCAGUUAGAGGUGAAAUCCUGGAGCUCAACUCCAGAACUGCCUUUAAUACUGCCAGUCUAGAGUCCAGAAGAGGUGAGUGGAACUCCUAGUGUAGAGGUGGAAUUCGUAGAUAUUAGGAAGAACACCAGUGGCGAAGGCGGCUCACUGGUCUGGUACUGACGCUGAGGUGCGAAAGCGUGGGGAGCAAACAGGAUUAGAAACCCGUGUAGUCC